AUCGCUUCUUGGCCUUUAGGCUAAAAUCAAGUGUAGUAUCUGUUCUUAUCAGUUUAAAAUGACUGCCAAAUUUUUGUCUGUUCCAUGCGUAGUGAUGCAUACACAACAUUUUUAAGUUUUUUGUUUUUAAGGCAAAAACAUCAAUAAAUGUCUUCUGGACCAUUUUGAAUGUGAAAUUCUUCCCCUUAAAAUAGCAACAAUCAAAAACCU
This is a small nuclear RNA of Balaenoptera musculus (blue whale), 210 nucleotides long. Its record names the gene U2. It matches the Rfam family "U2 spliceosomal RNA". Rfam says of the family: U2 is a small nuclear RNA (snRNA) component of the spliceosome (involved in pre-mRNA splicing). Complementary binding between U2 snRNA (in an area lying towards the 5' end but 3' to hairpin I) and the branchpoint sequence (BPS) of the intron results the bulging out of an unpaired adenosine, on the BPS, which initiates a nucleophilic attack at the intronic 5' splice site, thus starting the first of two transesterification reactions that mediate splicing. Lineage: Eukaryota; Metazoa; Chordata; Mammalia; Artiodactyla; Balaenopteridae. The record is from Ensembl.